This 18-nucleotide ribosomal RNA is filed under the name Anopheles subpictus. Its description in RNAcentral is "partial 28S ribosomal RNA". The record is from RNAcentral. Lineage: Eukaryota; Metazoa; Arthropoda; Insecta; Diptera; Culicidae.
GCCUCCAAGAUGAUGUGU